This 209-nucleotide long non-coding RNA is filed under the name Elaeis guineensis (African oil palm). RNAcentral's name for it is "long non-coding RNA (EGUI_LNC001182)". Lineage: Eukaryota; Viridiplantae; Streptophyta; Magnoliopsida; Arecales; Arecaceae. The record is from RNAcentral.
AUGAUUCAGUCUCUCACAAAAAAGAAUAAUUUUUCCAAAUCAAUUUGCACGUCAAAUCCGGAAAGCAAUCUCGAUUCCGACACGUAUACAACUUCUAUUCCUUCCCUAUAAAUAAAGAGAUACAGAGACUCUCCAAAUAAGUUCUCCACUUCUACUCUUUCCUUCUCAUUGUUCUCCAUCUGGUGACUUGAACGUCGGAGGAUGAGGAU